Molecule: ribosomal RNA, 294 nt
Filed under: Clostridioides difficile
Lineage: Bacteria; Bacillati; Bacillota; Clostridia; Peptostreptococcales; Peptostreptococcaceae
Description: partial 23S ribosomal RNA
Rfam family: Bacterial large subunit ribosomal RNA
Source: RNAcentral
GUUCGGUCCCUAUCCGUCGCAGGCGUAGGAAUGUGGCGAAGACCGGUCGUUGGUACGGGGGGACCGGGAUGGAGGUAUAUCUGGUGUACCAGUUGUUCUGCCAAGGGCAUGGCUGGGUAGCUAUGUACGGAAUGGAUAAGCGCUGAAAGCAUCUAAGCGCGAAGCCAACUUCAAGAUAAGAUUGCCCACCGCAAGGGUAAGACCCCAGAAAGACUAUCUGGUUGAUAGGUCGAAGGUGUAAGUGCAGCAAUGUAUUUAGCUUAUCGAUACUAAUAGGUCGAGGACUUGACCAAU